UCCUAUUCGAGUAUUUACAGUAAAUGCUCACACACGGAGCAGCUUGUUGCUCUGCUGUUAUCAGCUGCUGUUUCAACAAAAACGCCAUUGAGGGAAUUCAACCGUGGUGUUGUGUCGGGAGAUGCAGUGACUUAACCAGCGAAAACACAGGAGGAGGCAUGCGGAGAACAUAACCAAAUUCCUCAGAGGAAAAGAAGAAGGAGAGCAACAAAGAAAAUAAGAAUGGGAGAACAGCACACAACCUUACUGUGUGUUAGAGCAUGGGAGAACAGUGGAUACUUUUAAUACAGCCCACAUCCACAUAUUUCUGCGUAACUAUAACAAGUGGAGAACAUUCAAGAUGUCAACUGUCUGCAUAGUUUAUUCAUCUUGUGUAAUGAAUGAAAAUAAAUAUGCCUCCUAGGCUCAUCUCUACUUUUA
This is a long non-coding RNA of Micropterus dolomieu (smallmouth bass), 420 nucleotides long. RefSeq lists it as uncharacterized. The transcript has 2 exons. NCBI's taxonomy places the organism in Eukaryota, Metazoa, Chordata, Actinopteri, Centrarchiformes, Centrarchidae. The record is from RefSeq and is a predicted model, not a curated record.